UUAUGUUUUGGUGUAAAGGCACGUAAAGUUUUGAUCUUUAAAGAAAGGGUGCAAAUCUCUUAAAUAUAAU
RNAcentral lists this transfer RNA (70 nucleotides) under Crangon hakodatei. Its description in RNAcentral is "tRNA-Gln". It matches the Rfam family "tRNA". Rfam says of the family: Transfer RNA (tRNA) molecules are approximately 80 nucleotides in length. Lineage: Eukaryota; Metazoa; Arthropoda; Malacostraca; Decapoda; Crangonidae. The record is from RNAcentral.